This 253-nucleotide ribosomal RNA is filed under the name uncultured bacterium. Its description in RNAcentral is "partial 16S ribosomal RNA". It matches the Rfam family "Bacterial small subunit ribosomal RNA", at positions 524 to 776 of the family's 1533-position model. The record is from RNAcentral.
UACGUAGGGGGCAAGCGUUGUCCGGAAUUACUGGGCGUAAAGCGUGUGUAGGCUGCUCCAUAAGUCGGAUGUGAAAGCCCCGGGCUCAACCCGGGAAGUGCACUCGAUACUGUGGAGCUCGAGUAUCGGAGAGGUUGGUGGAAUUCUCGGUGUAGAGGUGAAAUUCGUAGAUAUCGAGAGGAACACCGGUGGCGAAGGCGGCCAACUGGACGAAUACUGACGCUGAGACACGAAAGCGUGGGGAGCAAACAGG